AACUUGUACAUUUCUCUCUUCAAGAGAAGCACUGCAUGGCCUGAUGUUCUUCCCAUUGUAUCAUCUUCUACGUCUGGUCCCCAGCGCACAUCAGUGCAGCUCACUGUGCCUUCAGUUCCCAAGGAGAAGAAUAACAUAUCACUCUUGCAAAAGGCUGGCGAUCAUCCAUUCCUCCCAGCUUUUCUCUGCCUCAGGAGAAAGAAGUAUUGCUAAAUCGCGUGCUCCCUGACAAUCAGUAUUCAAGUAUUGACGAAGUGGCAACAGGUCAUUACAAAAUACCUUUCCUUUCUUGUUUGAGAAAUCAACUGGGUAAGUAUACUCUAAUGAGGUGAUAAGGCUGGCUACUGUAGAUUGUAUUGAUGUGACCCUCAGGUGACCUCAUCCGUUUACAGCAAAAGCAAACAGCAACAUUAGAAAUACCAAAGUCCCAAAUUUAUCUCGUUUAAGAACCUUUUCAGCAUUUUAGAAACACUGUAUGGGCAUCUCUAAAGUGAGAAGAUCUCUGAAGCUAGAAGAGCAGAGUGAUUGUCUAAGUUAAGUCUAAGUGCAGUUGCUACUGUUAAUUAUUAUUUACUGCUCCUGGAGGGGAGCAAAGUGCUCUGGAGUCCUGUAAAUUAGCCAAGGUCCAUACCCAAAGCACACAUAUGGUUUGUCUUAGCCUGGUAAUAAUGGUUCCAGAGGAAAUUUUGGAAACACUACCCAUGGGAAAAAGCAACUCUCACAUAAAUGACAGUCUUAGAGCAAAUGUGUCAUAACACAUGCGAAGACACAUACUAAUUUAAGUCUAUCCCAUCAUGUGAAACAAGUUAACAAGAAGGAAAAUUGAACGUAGUUCAUUCCAUACUGAAAAUAUCUGGAAUAUGAGCAUUUUUGAGAGAGGGAUUAAAAAAAAAAUUAGCAUACUAGAUGGGAAGUUCAGGUUAAAGAAUUGAACUCUGAAGAUGGUAAUUAAGAUUUAUAGCUCAGCUUCUCAUUCUACAUUUGACAUUUACUAUACAUUUGAUCCUGCUUCAUAAAAUGAGGUUAAACCUUACUUAAUUGUUUUAAAGGCUUUGUUUAUUACAUGUUAAGGGCAACAAAGCUGGUGAGAGGUCUGGAGAGUAAGUCUUAUGAGGAGAGGCUGGGGGAGCUGGGGUUGUUCAGCUUGGAGAGAAAGGAGACUGAGGGGGGACCUUAUCGCUCUCUACAGUUAACUGCAAAGAGGGUGUAGAGAGGUGGGGGUCGGUCUC
Molecule: long non-coding RNA, 1229 nt
Filed under: Calidris pugnax (ruff)
Lineage: Eukaryota; Metazoa; Chordata; Aves; Charadriiformes; Scolopacidae
Description: lncRNA (ENSCPUG00000018146.1)
Source: RNAcentral